RNAcentral lists this ribosomal RNA (690 nucleotides) under uncultured Lactobacillus sp. RNAcentral describes it as "bacterial SSU rRNA". It matches the Rfam family "Bacterial small subunit ribosomal RNA", at positions 771 to 1460 of the family's 1533-position model. Lineage: Bacteria; Bacillati; Bacillota; Bacilli; Lactobacillales; Lactobacillaceae. The record is from RNAcentral.
AACCGGAUUAGAUACCCUGGUAGUCCAUGCCGUAAACGAUGAGUGCUAAGUGUUGGAGGGUUUCCGCCCUUCAGUGCUGCAGCUAACGCAUUAAGCACUCCGCCUGGGGAGUACGACCGCAAGGUUGAAACUCAAAGGAAUUGACGGGGGCCCGCACAAGCGGUGGAGCAUGUGGUUUAAUUCGAUGCUACGCGAAGAACCUUACCAGGUCUUGACAUCUUCUGCCAACCUAAGAGAUUAGGCGUUCCCUUCGGGGACAGGAUGACAGGUGGUGCAUGGUUGUCGUCAGCUCGUGUCGUGAGAUGUUGGGUUAAGUCCCGCAACGAGCGCAACCCUUAUUGUUAGUUGCCAGCAUUCAGUUGGGCACUCUAGCAAGACUGCCGGUGACAAACCGGAGGAAGGUGGGGAUGACGUCAAAUCAUCAUGCCCCUUAUGACCUGGGCUACACACGUGCUACAAUGGACGGUACAACGAGUCGCGAAACCGCGAGGUCAAGCUAAUCUCUUAAAGCCGUUCUCAGUUCGGAUUGUAGGCUGCAACUCGCCUACAUGAAGUUGGAAUCGCUAGUAAUCGUGGAUCAGCAUGCCACGGNGAAUACGUUCCCGGGCCUUGUACACACCGCCCGUCACACCAUGAGAGUUUGUAACACCCAAAGCCGGUGNNGUAACCUUCGGGGGANCAGCCGUCUAA